This 511-nucleotide ribosomal RNA is filed under the name uncultured bacterium. RNAcentral's name for it is "partial 16S ribosomal RNA". It matches the Rfam family "Bacterial small subunit ribosomal RNA", at positions 355 to 857 of the family's 1533-position model. The record is from RNAcentral.
UGGGGAAUAUUGCACAAUGGGCGCAAGCCUGAUGCAGCCAUGCCGCGUGUGUGAAGAAGGCCUUCGGGUUGUAAAGCACUUUCAGCGAGGAGGAAGGUGGUGAACUUAAUACGUUCAUCAAUUGACGUUACUCGCAGAAGAAGCACCGGCUAACUCCGUGCCAGCAGCCGCGGUAAUACGGAGGGUGCAAGCGUUAAUCGGAAUUACUGGGCGUAAAGCGCACGCAGGCGGUUUGUUAAGUCAGAUGUGAAAUCCCCGGGCUCAACCUGGGAACUGCAUUUGAAACUGGCAAGCUAGAGUCUCGUAGAGGGGGGUAGAAUUCCAGGUGUAGCGGUGAAAUGCGUAGAGAUCUGGAGGAAUACCGGUGGCGAAGGCGGCCCCCCUGGACGAAGACUGACGCUCAGGUGCGAAAGCGUGGGGCAGCAAACAGGAUUAGAUACCCUGGUAGUCACGCUGUAAACGAUGUCGAUUUGGAGGUUGUGCCCUUGAGGCGUGGCUUCCGGAGCUAACG